RNAcentral lists this long non-coding RNA (1570 nucleotides) under Nicotiana benthamiana. RNAcentral's name for it is "long non-coding RNA (NBEN_LNC002786)". Lineage: Eukaryota; Viridiplantae; Streptophyta; Magnoliopsida; Solanales; Solanaceae. The record is from RNAcentral.
GAGUGUGAAUUUCAACGUAGAAAUCAUAGAAGAGUUAAAUAGAAUAAAUGAUAAAUAAAAUAUAGGAAAGAUGCCAUAGGCACCCCAUGCGAUUUCCUCGCUUCUUUUCUGAUGCGGUUAAAGAAUAUAGGAUGUGAUGACUCCAUGCUCGGGUAGUGCUGAGUCUCGGGUGAGACUCCAUUUUUUUGCUCCAAGUGUAUAUGCAAAGAAAGGGAAAAAAAAAUUAGAGAAAAGAAAGAUUAUUCUAUUCAUAAAAGAUGUGAAGAGACACAACUAGGAGAAUUGAUACCAAAGCAGGAACAAUUCCAUUUCUUUUUGUCCAUAGGAUGGCCCAUACUAUGCCAUUUGAAACUUAAAAAAUUAUUUUUCUAAUCACUCAAAGUAGCAAAUUGAAAGAGCACGUACUUAACUAUGCUUAACAACAUAUAUUUUCAUAAAAUAAUAUUAAAAGAUAAUCUAAAUUUAUUCUAAUCACUUAAAGUGAAGUAAAACAAUCAUUCUAAGACAUAAUCAUGACAGUAGAAUGAUAUAGUUUUCCUUUUGCAUACUCUUAAGUGAGCAGUAAAAUAAGCUUAAGUACUAUCAUAUUUGCUAAAUUAUUCACAUUAAAAAGGUUUUCUAUUUUCUCCCUUAUCAAUGAUAUGAUUUCUAUACAUGGGUGAAUCCUACAAUAAUGUUUCUUUCAUUUAGAAUAGAACUAAAACACGUAUUUUUCAGCCCUAGCAAGAAAUAACUUCGAAUCCGAAAAAUAAGAAAGAGAACAGGAGAAAAAAUCAUUAAAGUUAUAUACUUUUUGUGGGCAGCGAACUGUAGGCUUUGAGGGCUCAGAUCUACUACUCUUUAGGUAUGGAGAUUAUAAAAAUAGAGACUAAAUAUUGAGAAAAUUUCCACAGAUUGCGAAGAUUGAGAUUAAAAGAAAAGAAGAGUAUGAUAUAAACUGAGUUUUUUGGGAUUUUCCACUUUUUUGGGCGGAGAUUUAACAAGGUAUUUAUAGGUGUAAAAUUAGGUUCUUGAGCAGAAUUUUAAUGUUUGAAAUCAAGUAAAAUAACCGUUUGAUAUUCAAAAGUUGGAGGGCCUAAAUCCUCACGUGAUUUGGUGUCUGAAAUGAUGAGAUUCCGUCUGAGACUUGAAGACUUACGGGCCAUUGAGCAAAAAUAUGGAAGAUGAAAGAAUAUAGACAACAUUUACACAAAAAUAGUGAGGCAUCUUUUUUGGAAGGUGAAAAAGCUUUUGUCAAAAGUUGUUUGGCGACUUUGACCAAAAUGCACGACAACCUUCUUGCCACAGGAAAAAGUAUUUGAUGGUAGUAAAUAAGGACAAAAGGUGGGGUAGCGCAUGGAUCCUUGGUGUUGGAUACGAUUAAAUAUGAGAGUUUAAAAUUCAAAAGAGAGAUAUUUUGUGGUAGUGGAAGAAUCUAGAAAACAAGAGAAGACUCGUGCUUAUAUUUUGGGCUUAAUUAAUAAAUUACUAAAGUUGUUUUGUGGUUUGGGCCGGUAGAGUUAGUAGGAAAUUAUUGGGUAAUAAAUAAGCUUAAUUUUCUUUCUUCUUCCAAUUCUUUGGGUUUCUAAUA